Brassica rapa (field mustard) is the source of this 119-nucleotide non-coding RNA. RefSeq annotates it as microRNA MIR156e. The record is from RefSeq and is marked provisional. NCBI's taxonomy places the organism in Eukaryota, Viridiplantae, Streptophyta, Magnoliopsida, Brassicales, Brassicaceae.
GAAAUGCAACAGAGAAAACUGACAGAAGAGAGUGAGCACUUGCAAGGCACUGUUAUGUGUCAAUAACUUUGCGUGUGCGUGCUCACCUCUCUUUCUGUCAGUUGCCUGACUUCUCGCUU